GAUGAACGCUGGCGGCGUGCCUAAUACAUGCAAGUCGAGCGAAUGGAUUAAGAGCUUGCUCUUAUGAAGUUAGCGGCGGACGGGUGAGUAACACGUGGGUAACCUGCCCAUAAGACUGGGAUAACUCCGGGAAACCGGGGCUAAUACCGGAGAACAUUUUGAACCGCAUGGUUCGAAAUUGAAAGGCGGCUUCGGCUGUCACUUAUGGCUGGACCCGCGUCGCAUUAGCUAGUUGGUGAGGUAACGGCUCACCAAGGCAACGAUGCGUAGCCGACCUGAGAGGGUGAUCGGCCACACUGGGACUGAGACACGGCCCAGACUCCUACGGGAGGCAGCAGUAGGGAAUCUUCCGCAAUGGACGAAAGUCUGACGGAGCAACGCCGCGUGAGUGAUGAAGGCUUUCGGGUCGUAAAACUCUGUUGUUAGGGAAGAACAAGUGCUAGUUGAAUAAGCUGACACCUUGACGGUACCUAACCAGAAAGCCACGGCUAACUACGUGCCAGCCGCCGCCGUAA
Molecule: ribosomal RNA, 515 nt
Filed under: uncultured bacterium
Lineage: Bacteria
Description: partial 16S ribosomal RNA
Rfam family: Bacterial small subunit ribosomal RNA
Source: RNAcentral